AUGGAGGUCGGCUCUUGUCUGGAAGGAGCCGGGAGCCUUUGUGAAUGCAGAACGGCCUCCCUGUUGUCCUUUCUCUGUUCUGGCCGCCAGCUCGUCCUUCUCCCAUCCCUAUUGUCUCCACCUUCUCCAGGGCUGACUACCCCAUUCCCACCGGGCCGCCCGGCUCCUUUGGGUCUGGCCCCACCUUGUGGGCAGCCUUGCUCGCUGCAUGUCACUUUGCCUUUUCCUGCCCGGCCGCAAGAGGCUUCGAGGAAGCGAAGGGCUGAAUUCGCUUCCUUGCUUGGAUGGGCGCGCGCGAGCCGAGAGCCCUGCGACCCCUGCCUGGUCCCCGCUCGCUCGGGUGGGCGUUGGAGGCAGGGGCGGCGGAGCUGGAUCCGGCCCCUGUCGAGUCAGCGGCUCCGGCAGGGACACUUCGGGGGUCCGCAGCACCCCUGCCUGCCCUUUUCCAGCUCCUUUCGGGAGAGGCAUGGGCCUGGCGUCUGCUCUCCGGCCAGCAGCCCUGGAAAAAAGACUCCUCGCUCACUGCGGAGCCCUAGAGGAGAUCGAGAGGCUGCCCGGAAGCCUCCCUCCCGCUCGGGGCGCAGAUUCAGUGGGGGCAGCCCCUCCCCCCUUCCCUCGGGAGCCAGCCCACUGGUGGUAGCCAGGCCUAGCCGCGCUAGGAGACCUCGUUGCCAAGCAACAGGCAGCUCCAGACCCAUCUCCAGCGGCCUGGAGGGAAGCCCGCUGCCUUCGUGGGAGGGGGACGCGCCGGCAUUAAAGACUACUUUAGUGCACUGCUCUCUGCCAAGCUGCAAUAACAUUGGGGGGGGGGGGCUUGCUGUGCAAUUGGCCCCGAGGCCAUCUAUUUACCGGAUGAUCCAGGACCCUCGACGUGGAGGGCCCUCAUCUCGCAGCACACUCGCCUGUCUGCCCACAAGGGGGGGCAUUUCUCCCAAGAACGCCCCAACGAGCCGGCUAACCGGGUCUGGACCCCAGACCGUCUCCACCGUCCCGUGGUUCGCACCGGUCCAAUCCAUGGCCCGGAGAAAACCCUGUAGCCUUGGUGUCGUCCCAAGAGAAGCCUUCAGUCACCCGGGAGAAACCCUCCGCUAG
RNAcentral lists this long non-coding RNA (1092 nucleotides) under Monodelphis domestica (gray short-tailed opossum). RNAcentral's name for it is "lncRNA (ENSMODG00000040622.1)". The record is from RNAcentral. Lineage: Eukaryota; Metazoa; Chordata; Mammalia; Didelphimorphia; Didelphidae.